AAUAAAAUAUCAAAUCAAAAUUAUUUCAAUGAUUUAAUUAAUAAUGUAGUAUUGGAAUUCGAUGAUGUAAAGAAAUUCAGUGAUAAUUUCGAUGAAUAUGCAAAUCGUUUGAAUGAAAAUGAACUUGUUUUUAGACGUACACGUAAGCCUAUAAAUGUGCUGAAAUGUAUGUUUUAUAUUGAGGAGAUUAAAUGCUUGUUAACACAGUUUCCACAGAAAAUUGAUCGCAAUUCAAUCCAAGAAUUUUGCAAGAUAGAAAUGUCUCACUAUGAGAAGCUAUCUUCGAUACGAAAUGAGUUGGACAGAUAUAUAAAGAAACCUGAAA
This is a non-coding RNA of Nylanderia fulva, 325 nucleotides long. Lineage: Eukaryota; Metazoa; Arthropoda; Insecta; Hymenoptera; Formicidae. The record is from RefSeq and is a predicted model, not a curated record.